GACGAACGCUGGCGGCGUGCUUAACACAUGCAAGUCGAACGCUGAAGCUUGGUGCUUGCACUGGGUGGAUGAGUGGCGAACGGGUGAGUAAUACGUGAGUAACCUGCCCUUGACUCUGGGAUCAGCCUGGGAAACUGGGUCCAAUACUGGAUACGACAUGUCACCGCAUGGUGGUGUGUGGAAAGGGUUUUACUGGUUUUGGAUGGGCUCACGGCCUAUCAGCUUGUUGGUGGGGUAAUGGCUCACCAAGGCGACGACGGGUAGCCGGCCUGAGAGGGUGACCGGCCACACUGGGACUGAGACACGGCCCAGACUCCUACGGGAGGCAGCAGUGGGGAAUAUUGCACAAUGGGCGGAAGCCUGAUGCAGCGACGCCGCGUGAGGGAUGACGGCCUUCGGGUUGUAAACCUCUUUCAGCACGGAAGAAGCGAAAGUGACGGUACGUGCAGAAGAAGCGCCGGCUAACUACGUG
Molecule: ribosomal RNA, 472 nt
Filed under: uncultured bacterium
Lineage: Bacteria
Description: partial 16S ribosomal RNA
Rfam family: Bacterial small subunit ribosomal RNA
Source: RNAcentral